UAUAGAUUUCAUUUAACUUAACCUCUGGCAUAUUCCAAUUAAUUAAUUUAUUUUCUAAUUCUUGAACUUCUAAUUCUUGAUUUUGAAAAGUAUCUUGGUUUAAUGUGGGUUCAGUACUUGAGGAAGUAGGUGGAACUAAAGUUCUGUUAGAUCUACUGCUUCUACCACUAACCCUGCUCCAAGCCCUAUCCAGUAACCGAGACAUCUUUGAAUUAAUUUCACUUUAAAUUUUCAACUGUUUCGCUUUAAAAUAAAACUCUUUAAACUUUAAGCUUUAAUCUUACUGUGUGAGUCUCUCCUCCCCCUUAUUUUUGUUUGAGUUUCUAAGAAAAAUACAACUAGGCUAAACCAACGGUUUCACUGCCCUAUCUGCGGGUCUUACU
RNAcentral lists this long non-coding RNA (383 nucleotides) under Trifolium pratense (red clover). RNAcentral describes it as "long non-coding RNA (TPRA_LNC006867)". Lineage: Eukaryota; Viridiplantae; Streptophyta; Magnoliopsida; Fabales; Fabaceae. The record is from RNAcentral.